GCAGUGGCAUGUUGUGGCAGUAGGCAGUUGGUUUGCACAACAGGAUAUAUAAUUAUUUAUUAGACAUACUACCGAAGAACUAAUGUAGCCAAUUUUAGGAGGAUGAUAGCAAAGAAAUAUCUUACAUGUCUAAUAACAGGUGUACCAGAAGAUGAAGUCCAGACAACCCUGCCAACAUCAACAAUUGUUAAAGGUGAGACAGUUGAAGGAAUUGUUCAGGAACAAACACUCGAGGAAGAGAAAUCAGCAGCAAUAGAUAACAAUAGUGGCAGACCAGAAAAUAAACUUGAGGGAAUGGCUAAUGUUGUUGAGGUUAGUCAGUAAUGAAGUUAAAAAAGAAGAUAACUGUGUACAUAAUUUCAUGGCAUUUCACACUCAUAAAUUGGUCAUGCUUAGGCAUCCAUGCAAACUGUUGUUAUGUACGAAAAAUAACAUCUCAUUGAUUUGCUAAUAGAUAUAGUACAAAAACAUAAGUGGGCAAGGCCCAAUAAGCACAAAACAGAAACUAGAACACACAAACUCUAGCACAAACAAUCAAUUAUUUAUUUUCUUCAUUUCUAUUACAAUUUUGAUUCUGAUACUGCAUAUGUUAAAACAGACAAUUGAUCAACAUGAAUCCAUGGCCAAGGUCAGCACUGAAAAUGAAGAACAUGCCAACCGCCAUUCUGAACAGUCUAGCAUGGAGAAUGUAAUUACAAAGCAUAUCAAUUCAGAAGGAAUGGUAACAACAGAAAACAGUACAAAAUCAAGUUAUAAUGUGGAAGAACUGGAAAAGGUUCUAGACUCAAACUCCAUAGAAAAUUCAGAAAUGAAGGAUGGUAGAAAAAUCUUGUCAGAGGAAGCAUCUAAUAUGAAAGAAGCCACUGGUAUGGAGUUACAGAAGCCUGAAAUAGAAAGUAAUGUUGAUAAUUCAGCAACUUUCAGUUUUAUCUUUACCCAAUUUAAUAUUUCAUCCGAGAAACAAAUAUACUAAAAUUAAGGUUCCCAAAAAAAAAAACAUAUUCUAAUUGGUAUUGUGAAUCAUUUGAAACUGACUUAACUGAGUUCUUUGGCCAAGUCUAACUUUAGGAAACUUUUGUGUUCUGAAGAAAGGAAUUACUUGAGCCAAGUUUAUGGGGUAGAUAGCAUGUAGACAGUCAUAGUUUGGCCUCAAAAGCGGCUUCUUUAGCAGUGAAAGUUUGAGUUUGAAGAAAACAUAUAAAUAUACUUAAAGCAUAAACUAUAUUAGCCAAUCUGGUGUGGAAGAUUGAAUUUAACAUUUUAUCCGUAUAAUGACAGAUGCACCUGAGGAUAAAGCCAUCUCAACUUUGCCUGAGAUAGUUGAGGAAAGCAUUCAAGAAGUAAUACAAAAGGAAGCUGAAUCAGAAGUGAUCGAUACCAAAGAGGAGCAGAGACCAGGAAAUGAUUUUGUAAAGAACAUGGAAGUUCUCGAGGUUUGCCUGCACUACCACAAAAUAAACUACAUAAUGAUAUAUACCACAUUGCAUAUUCACACUUGCACAUCUUAAUUCCGUGUCUGUGUAGGCAACCAAAUAUUCAUUCUCCCAAUGUACAAUAUCUUUGAGUUCUGAUGCAGUUUAUGUUAAAUUAGGGAUUUGAUUUACACAAAGCGCAAGGCAACACCACUCUGGAAAAUGAAAUGAAAGCAGAAGUCCAGUCUGAAGCAAAGAGCCGGGAGAUCAUUAUCGAGCAUCAAAAUUUGCUGGAGACUGCAGAAAUAAGUCCAAGAAAUGAUACUAAAGAACCUGAAAAGGAACAUAAAGUCACCACAGGUAUCUCUGAAUCAGUAUCUGCAGAUACCACAGAGCAAACAGACACAGGAAAACCGGAAACUCCAGAGGCCGAAAUCACUCAACCAGGCAUCACAAAAGAAGACGAAGCAGGAGACGAAUUCGAAAAAAUAAGCCCAUCAUCUAGUGUGAGUGUGAUAUCCAGAGACUCUCAAGACACCGACACGAAAGUUUCACACAAAAAAUCUCAUGGCAUCCUAUCAGGUGUAGGGUCAAAGGUGAAGCACUCAAUUUCCAAAGUGAAGAAGGCCAUUACAGGCAAGUCUUCACACCCCAAGACACCACCAUCAUCAAAAUAAAAAAAAAGUGACCCAUUAGACAACUACAUACAUGCUGCUUUUGUAAAUAGAUAGAAUACACAGAUGCUUGAGCUUUUUGGAGGGCUUGUUUCUUUUGUUGAGGAAUUGGAUUGAUUUGUUUCAUUGAUGUAUUGCUUGGUUUGUUAUGAAAAUUUAUCUUAAGGGGGGUCUAUUAUUCUCCUAACUCAGUGUAAUGUAUUCAUAUUCUCUUUGUUUUAAUGAAAUUGUUAUAGACAUAAGCACAAGUAGUUGGUGAUUGAAAACAUAGGGAAAGGGUAAAGUAAAGUAAUUUCAAGUUUGUAGUAACAACGGUUUGAAGACAAGAAUAAUGAGAUAGUCAUUGCUAUAGGGACACAUGAAAUGAAUCAUUAUACACCAAAAAUCCAUGGAAAGAACAAAGAAAAGCGACGAAAUUCCAGUUCGAACUUGGCUUUAUCGAGAAUCAAAAGGAAAAGCGAGGAUUGAAGAAAUGAAGUGUAUAUACCUGAGCCAGGACAGGACACUACGUGCACGUGCAACACUUUUUAGCCUAUGCGAAUCAAUGGUGGGUCAAGGGCAGGGCAGGAAAUGCGAGGGUUUUCG
This 2671-nucleotide long non-coding RNA is filed under the name Glycine max (soybean). RNAcentral's name for it is "long non-coding RNA (GMAX_LNC003653)". Lineage: Eukaryota; Viridiplantae; Streptophyta; Magnoliopsida; Fabales; Fabaceae. The record is from RNAcentral.